CUCACACACACCAACAAGGCACUCUGACAACCCACCAGAUGGAGAAAUUCCUACUAUUACUUGUUGUGAUUACAACAUGCUGUGCUGUACCUCAAGGAUCAGGAUUGGUUCAGCGGGCGUUUCAACUAGCAUUAGUCAUUUGUAGGCCUGCUGACAGACGUCCACAUUUGGGACUACGUGCUGUCUCCCUGUGAGAUCCAGAGGAGCACCAACCACAUGAACUUGACCACCGGCGACAUACUCAACUGGAAGGCUUUGGACAUCCAGACUAAAGGCAGAACAGGCAAUCAGACUGUAACCAUUAUCACUCAAACAAAUAAUAAUCAAGUGUCUAUUAUGCUAUCUGGUAACUUUCCAUAUUGUGUAAAUUAAAAGGCCAUAUCACUAUAUGUCUUUCAGCUGACAGUAUACCAUAAGAAACUGACAAUGUAAAUAAACUGUGUUGGUUGCGUGAA
Molecule: long non-coding RNA, 455 nt
Organism: Salvelinus sp. IW2-2015
Lineage: Eukaryota; Metazoa; Chordata; Actinopteri; Salmoniformes; Salmonidae
Exons: 3
Source: RefSeq, a predicted model, not a curated record